UAACAGCAUAGUUGUCAGAAUCGUACGAUUCACAAUUCGUAUCGUACGAUUCGAUACGAUUCGGUGGGUAAUCGAUACGAAUAGGCUGCCGAAUCGGAAAUAGCUGAGAAUCGUAAGUGAAUCGGUGAUUUACGAUUCUGAAUCAGUGAAUCGUUCGAUUCACUUAAAAUUUCCGAAAUUCAUUUUUUACUCUUGUUUUGCUUCUUUUGAUGUUUGAAAAGGGUUCAAAUAUUUUUUUAAGGUCUAGUAUUGUUAUAUGUCAUCUUUUGUCUAUGUUAUAUGGAUAGAUAAUAAGAAAAGAGAUUUAUUACGAGAGUGAAUCGAAAAUGAGGAAGAUAAAUGGAAUAUAACAACCCUAUAGACCUUCUAAGGGUUUGUUUUGUACUUAUAACUCUUUCGUACAAAAAGAACCAUAAGUAGGCUUUACGAAUCAUCAUCUCUUGGUAGUUGCAAUAGAAGCAACUUACCUAAUAUUCCACGUUAUUAUCAAAUCAUCAUUAGAAGAAAGUAUUUAUUGAUUUAGGCCUAAGUCUUUCAUUUUUAGUAUAUAUUGUUGUUAACCUAAUCAAUAAGCAUAGGUUUCUAUGCAUUAUAGAAGUCAUGACCGAAUCAGAGCGAUUCACGAUUCGAUUCGAUUCACGAUUCGAAAAAUGACCAUUUCGAUUCUCGAUUCGAUUCACGAUUUGACAACUAUACUAACAGGAUAUACAUGCACGAAUUUUCGAUCCAUGCUCUUUUUAAUUUGGCAAGGUACACAUUUUCCCCACAAGUCGAUAUUGCAGGGACUUUUUAGAUAGGAAAAAUGAUAGUCUUCAAAAAGGAACUCUGUAAAUUAUAUUUGCCAGAUUAUGUACUCCAUGUUCUCGGGUUGUUUACGUACAACAGGAUAAAGGUAAUCCUUAGUCAAUGGGGUAUGUGUGGGGGCGGACUGGAGAGAGACCUAACCUUUGGCAAUAUAUGCAUAAAGUGGUUGCUCUUAGAAAGUUUUGCCACUGACAUAGCGGCCCCCUAUACCUCCAGGCUCCAAAAGGCGAGGAACCAAAGCAGUGUUCAUACAAGUUACUUUUUCUUGCUUUGGGAUGACACUUAGCAUAGCAGAAAGAGAAAUACUUACAUUUCCAUCAGUAUUGUUGUUUUCCAGAACUCUAAAAUAAGUUACAUUGCUACUCAAGUACAUUAGAGUUUGUACGUAGGAUGAUAGGAUCAUUGAUGAAGGAUAUGAUUUUUGUAACUUGUAAGCAUGAUUUAAAAAUUACUGAUUUGGUGGUGGUUACAAGGAAACUGAUAUUUCAAAGUGAACGAUGUAUGAUAGUGCUGGUUUCCUUGUAAGAGUGCGUAUGAGUAAAAGCAUUGUUUAACUCAAUUGCACUAAUUUGGUAUGAGUAUUUAAUCUAUUUUUAGAGAUUGGAGAUUUAGUCUCUUUUGAAAGUUUUUUAGUUCCAUAAGUCUCACGUGGAACCUUUAUCAUCUCUUUUUGCAGAUUUGAUUGUGCUUCUUUGUCAGCAUGCAUCAUUUUUCGUUUUCUACUCGCUUCUUGUUGCUACAUUGUUUUUAUCAUUCUUACCGGUGGAAUCUGGAUGACAGGAUGAGGGGAAGAGUGUUGCUAAUGUAUAUUAGUACUUUUCAGAUUCAAAUCCUUCUUAAUGGCUUCAAGUUAAACACUUAUUGGCAGCAAAACUAUUUCCCCCUCACAUUAUUCCUCGCGAACGUUAGAAACAAAAUGAUCAGUUGCAACAUAUACCAUCAUCUGUUGCCAGCUCUACAGUGGCAUUUCAACAGCUUUUACAGCUUAAGUGCUUAACAGUCCUUUUGAUAGACAUGGAUUGCUGUUCAGUGCACAUACAAGCUGUAUUUUCCCUGGAAAUAACAGCAGCUUUACAGCAAAUAGUUUUACAUUCAUUGAGAAAUAAUCUCUAUUUCCAAUAACUCACUAAAAAAUUUCUAGAUAGGCAUAUACUGUAUAUUUGUAUUAAUUGGCAACCCUCUCCCAUUCAAUACUACAAUCGCUAGCUUCUAACUGAGUGAAUCCUAUAUCAAUACGUACAACUCUGACAGGAUAUAUUCAUUUCAAUUUACAUAAUAACAUAAACUUCCCCAAAUCAUAUUUUUCUCGAACUUAAAUCUAUUAACCCUUUUGUAUUGCUUCUUUUCUGAAUUAUCAAAAAAACACAGUGCUGCUUGUCGUAGUAACAGUAGAGAAGGAUGGAAAGUGGGUCAUGGAGGGACAGGAAAACACAGGUUGUGGAGCGAAAAUUAUUGGGUGCAACAACAGGGGUUGGGGUCAUAGCCCGUGGUAUGGUGUCAAAUGCUAACAAAUCAGAAACUUUUGGAGUAUCUAGUAGCAGUGAAUGAUUUUUC
Rhododendron vialii is the source of this 2358-nucleotide long non-coding RNA. RefSeq lists it as uncharacterized. The transcript has 2 exons. Lineage: Eukaryota; Viridiplantae; Streptophyta; Magnoliopsida; Ericales; Ericaceae. The record is from RefSeq and is a predicted model, not a curated record.